This 473-nucleotide ribosomal RNA is filed under the name uncultured bacterium. RNAcentral describes it as "bacterial SSU rRNA". It matches the Rfam family "Bacterial small subunit ribosomal RNA", at positions 335 to 803 of the family's 1533-position model. The record is from RNAcentral.
ACUCCUACGGGAGGCAGCAGUGGGGAAUAUUGCACAAUGGGGGAAACCCUGAUGCAGCCAUGCCGCGUGUGUGAAGAAGGCCUUCGGGUUGUAAAGCACUUUCAGCGAGGAGGAAAGGGUGUGUGCUAAUACCAUACAUCUGUGACGUUACUCGCAGAAGAAGCACCGGCUAACUCCGUGCCAGCAGCCGCGGUAAUACGGAGGGUGCGAGCGUUAAUCGGAAUUACUGGGCGUAAAGCGUGCGCAGGCGGUUUGUUAAGCGAGAUGUGAAAGCCCCGGGCUCAACCUGGGAAUUGCAUUUCGAACUGGCAAGCUAGAGUGUGAUAGAGGGUGGUAGAAUUUCAGGUGUAGCGGUGAAAUGCGUAGAGAUCUGAAGGAAUACCGAUGGCGAAGGCAGCCACCUGGGUCAACACUGACGCUCAUGUACGAAAGCGUGGGGAGCAAACGGGAUUAGAUACCCUGGUAGGCGUAGU